GACGAACGCUGGCGGCGUGCUUAACACAUGCAAGUCGAGCGGUAAGGCCCUUUCGGGGGUACGACGAGCGGCGAACGGGUGAGUAACACGUGGGUGACCUGCCCUCAGCUCUGGGAUAAGCCUGGGAAACUGGGUCUAAUACCGGAUAUGACUCCAUGACGCAUGUUGUGGGGUGGAAAGCCUUGUGCGGCUGAGGAUGGGCCCGCGGCCUAUCAGCUUGUUGGUGGGGUGANGGCCUACCAAGGCGACGACGGGUAGCCGGCCUGAGAGGGCGACCGGCCACACUGGGACUGAGACACGGCCCAGACUCCUACGGGAGGCAGCAGUGGGGAAUCUUGCGCAAUGGGCGAAAGCCUGACGCAGCGACGCCGCGUGAGGGAUGAC
This 384-nucleotide ribosomal RNA is filed under the name uncultured bacterium. RNAcentral describes it as "bacterial SSU rRNA". It matches the Rfam family "Bacterial small subunit ribosomal RNA", at positions 28 to 412 of the family's 1533-position model. The record is from RNAcentral.